UAAGGAAUAUUGGUCAAUGGACGCAAGUCUGAACCAGCCAUGCCGCGUGAAGGAUGAAGGUCCUCUGGAUUGUAAACUUCUUUUAUCUGGGACGAAAACGGGAUUUUUAUCUCAAUUGACGGUACCAGAGGAAUAAGCACCGGCUAACUCCGUGCCAGCAGCCGCGGUAAUACGGAGGGUGCGAGCGUUAUCCGGAUUUACUGGGUUUAAGGGUGCGUAGGUGGGCUUAUAAGUCAGUGGUGAAAUCUCCGAGCUUAACUUGGAAACUGCCGUUGAUACUAUAGGUCUUGAAUUAGCUGGAGGUUAGCGGAAUAUGUCAUGUAGCGGUGAAAUGCUUAGAUAUGACAUAGAACACCAAUAGCGAAGGCAGCUUACUACAUAUAAAUUGACGCUGAGGCACGAAAGCGUGGGGAUCAAACA
This 420-nucleotide ribosomal RNA is filed under the name uncultured bacterium. RNAcentral's name for it is "bacterial SSU rRNA". It matches the Rfam family "Bacterial small subunit ribosomal RNA", at positions 355 to 774 of the family's 1533-position model. The record is from RNAcentral.